GGGGCUGCUUAGACUCGACAAAAGUUCUUUUUCAAGUGAUUGCAAGUCUUGCUUCGUUGCCGUACGCAAGUAAAACUCGCGGUGACAUUAUACAAAUGCCAACUCAUUUGUCGCUAAAGUAAAGAACGCUUUCGCGUCACUUGCUCUAGCACCAGCAAUCGCUUAAUACCGGUUGCGGUCAAACCGAUAACACCGAUAAUCGGGGCGACCUAUCAUUUUCGGUUAUAUCGCCCGUUUCCGCGUGAAGGCGGGUGACGAAAGUUAUCACGACCGUUGCCUCUGUAUUUUUUUGGUUUUAAGCUUGGGCAACCAGACAAAUUAAACCAAGUAAACUUGUAGACGUCGCUUGAAUCUGCUUUUGGACGCGGGUGCAAUUCCCGCCAGCUCCAUUC
Molecule: transfer-messenger RNA, 392 nt
Filed under: bacterium
Lineage: Bacteria
Rfam family: transfer-messenger RNA
About the family: Bacterial tmRNA, also known as 10Sa RNA or SsrA, is named for its dual tRNA and mRNA-like properties. Its role is to liberate the mRNA from a stalled ribosome. To accomplish this part of the tmRNA is used as a reading frame that ends in a translation stop signal.
Source: RNAcentral